GAGUUUGAUCAUGGCUCAGGAUGAACGCUAGCGGCAGGCCUAACACAUGCAAGUCGAGGGGUAACAUAGAAAAGCUUGCUUUUCUGAUGACGACCGGCGCACGGGUGCGUAACGCGUAUACAAUCUGCCUUAUACUGGGGUAUAGCCUUUAGAAAUGAAGAUUAAUCCCCCAUAGCCUCUUUUAAUGGCAUCAUUAUAAGAGUAAAGGUUACGGUAUAAGAUGAGUAUGCGUUCUAUUAGUUUGUUGGUGAGGUAACGGCUCACCAAGACUGCGAUAGAUAGGGGCCCUGAGAGGGGGAUCCCCCACACUGGUACUGAGACACGGACCAGACUCCUACGGGAGGCAGCAGUGAGGAAUAUUGGACAAUGGAGGCAACUCUGAUCCAGCCAUGCCGCGUGCAGGAAGACUGCCCUAUGGGUUGUAAACUGCUUUUAUACAGGAAGAAACCUUGGUACGUGUACCGAGCUGACGGUACUGUAAGAAUAAGGAUCGGCUAACUCCGUGCCAGCAGCCGCGGUAAUACGGAGGAUCCAAGCGUUAUCCGGAAUCAUUGGGUUUAAAGGGUCCGUAGGUGGAUAAUUAAGUCAGAGGUGAAAUCUUGCAGCUCAACUGUAAAAUUGCCUUUGAUACUGGUUAUCUUGAGUCAUUAUGAAGUAGUUAGAAUAUGUAGUGUAGCGGUGAAAUGCAUAGAUAUUACAUAGAAUACCAAUUGCGAAGGCAGAUUACUAAUAAUGUACUGACACUGAUGGACGAAAGCGUGGGUAGCGAACAGGAUUAGAUACCCUGGUAGUCCACGCCGUAAACGAUGGUUACUAGCUGUGUGGACUUCGGUCUGCGUGGCUAAGCGAAAGUGAUAAGUAACCCACCUGGGGAGUACGUUCGCAAGAAUGAAACUCAAAGGAAUUGACGGGGGCCCGCACAAGCGGUGGAGCAUGUGGUUUAAUUCGAUGAUACGCGAGGAACCUUACCAGGGCUUAAAUGUAAGUUGCAUUAGCUAGAGAUAGCUAUUUCUUCGGACCACUUACAAGGUGCUGCAUGGUUGUCGUCAGCUCGUGCCGUGAGGUGUCAGGUUAAGUCCUAUAACGAGCGCAACCCCUGUUGUUAGUUGCCAGCGAGUCAUGUCGGGAACUCUAACAAGACUGCCGGUGCAAACCGUGAGGAAGGUGGGGAUGACGUCAAAUCAUCACGGCCCUUACGUCCUGGGCUACACACGUGCUACAAUGGUCGGUACAGAAAGCAGCCACUGCGCGAGCAGGAGCGAAUCUAUAAAACCGAUCACAGUUCGGAUCGGAGUCUGCAACUCGACUCCGUGAAGCUGGAAUCGCUAGUAAUCGGAUAUCAGCCAUGAUCCGGUGAAUACGU
RNAcentral lists this ribosomal RNA (1363 nucleotides) under unidentified marine bacterioplankton. RNAcentral describes it as "bacterial SSU rRNA". It matches the Rfam family "Bacterial small subunit ribosomal RNA", at positions 9 to 1371 of the family's 1533-position model. The record is from RNAcentral.